RNAcentral lists this small nucleolar RNA (96 nucleotides) under Ricinus communis (castor bean). RNAcentral's name for it is "Plant small nucleolar RNA R71". It matches the Rfam family "Plant small nucleolar RNA R71". From Rfam's summary of the family: R71 is a member of the C/D box family of snoRNAs containing the C (UGAUGA) and D (CUGA) box motifs. Lineage: Eukaryota; Viridiplantae; Streptophyta; Magnoliopsida; Malpighiales; Euphorbiaceae. The record is from Rfam by way of RNAcentral.
AAUCCGUGAUAUGGGCAGCAUCUCAAAAGAUCUUUAAACCUCUCCCAUGCUUUCAUCAUCAAACUGCAUAAAAGAAGAUAUGUCAUUUCUAAGUUU